GAUGAACGCUAGCUACAGGCUUAACACAUGCAAGUCGAGGGGCAUCAGGGAGUAGCAAUACUCCGCUGGCGACCGGCGCACGGGUGAGUAACACGUAUCCAACCUGGCUUUAACUCGGGGAUAGCCUCUUGAAAGAGAGAUUAAUACCCGAUAGUAUAUGAGAUCCGCAUGUUUUUCAUAUUAAAGGAUUCCGGUUAAAGAUGGGGAUGCGUUCCAUUAGAUUGUAGGCGGGGUAACGGCCCACCUAGUCUUCGAUGGAUAGGGGUUCUGAGAGGAAGGUCCCCCACACUGGUACUGAGACACGGACCAGACUCCUACGGGAGGCAGCAGUGAGGAAUAUUGGUCAAUGGGCGGAAGCCUGAACCAGCCAAGUAGCGUGAAGGAUGACUGCCCUAUGGGUUGUAAACUUCUUUUAUAAGGGAAUAACCACAGGUACGUGUACCUGUCUGUAUGUACCUUACGAAUAAGCAUCGGCUAACUCCGUGCCAGCCGCCGCAGUAAGAC
Molecule: ribosomal RNA, 504 nt
Filed under: uncultured bacterium
Lineage: Bacteria
Description: bacterial SSU rRNA
Rfam family: Bacterial small subunit ribosomal RNA
Source: RNAcentral